Molecule: ribosomal RNA, 406 nt
Filed under: uncultured bacterium
Lineage: Bacteria
Description: partial 16S ribosomal RNA
Rfam family: Bacterial small subunit ribosomal RNA
Source: RNAcentral
AUUUAACGCUGGCGGCAGGCCUAACACAUGCAAGUCGAACGAGUGGCGGACGGGUGAGUACUGUAUGGGAACCUGCCUGAUGGAGGGGGAUAACUACUGGAAACGGUAGCUAAUACCGCAUACCAACGGAUGUGCCCACAUGGGAUUAGCUAGUAGGUGGGGUAAAGGCUCACCUAGGCUAAGAUCCCUAGCUGGUCUGAGAGGAUUACGAGCGACACUGGAACUGAGACACGGUCCAGACUCCUACGGGAGGCAGCAGUGGGGAAUAUUGCACAAUGGGCGCAAGCCUGAUGCAGCCAUGCCGCGUGUAUGAAGAAGGCCUUCGGGUUGUAAAGUACUUUCAGCGGGGAGGCGUUACCCGCAUAAGAAGCACCGGCUAACUCCGUGCCAGCAGCCGCGGUAAUUC